UACGAAGGGUGCAAGCGUUACUCGGAAUUACUGGGCGUAAAGCGUGCGCAGGCGGUUUUGUAAGACAGAGGUGAAAUCCCCGGGCUCAACCUGGGAACUGCCUUUGUGACUGCAAGGCUUGAGUGCGGCAGAGGGGGAUGGAAUUCCGCGUGUAGCAGUGAAAUGCGUAGAUAUGCGGAGGAACACCGAUGGCGAAGGCAAUCCCCUGGGCCUGCACUGACGCUCAUGCACGAAAGCGUGGGGAGCAAACAGG
Molecule: ribosomal RNA, 253 nt
Filed under: uncultured bacterium
Lineage: Bacteria
Description: partial 16S ribosomal RNA
Rfam family: Bacterial small subunit ribosomal RNA
Source: RNAcentral